RNAcentral lists this transfer RNA (73 nucleotides) under Bos taurus (domestic cattle). It matches the Rfam family "tRNA". From Rfam's summary of the family: Transfer RNA (tRNA) molecules are approximately 80 nucleotides in length. Their secondary structure includes four short double-helical elements and three loops (D, anti-codon, and T loops). Further hydrogen bonds mediate the characteristic L-shaped molecular structure. tRNAs have two regions of fundamental functional importance: the anti-codon, which is responsible for specific mRNA codon recognition, and the 3' end, to which the tRNAs corresponding amino acid is attached (by aminoacyl-tRNA synthetases). tRNAs cope with the degeneracy of the genetic code in two manners: having more than one tRNA (with a specific anti-codon) for a particular amino acid; and 'wobble' base-pairing, i.e. permitting non-standard base-pairing at the 3rd anti-codon position. Lineage: Eukaryota; Metazoa; Chordata; Mammalia; Artiodactyla; Bovidae. The record is from Rfam by way of RNAcentral. RNAcentral also lists the same sequence under 1 other name.
UCCCUGGUGGCCCAGUGGUUAGGGCUGUGCAUUUUCACUGCCAAGGGCUCAGGUUCAAUCCUUGGUCAGAGAA